This 23-nucleotide non-coding RNA is filed under the name Arabidopsis thaliana (thale cress). Lineage: Eukaryota; Viridiplantae; Streptophyta; Magnoliopsida; Brassicales; Brassicaceae. The record is from RNAcentral.
AGUUGCUUUAUCGUAUCCACACA